Long non-coding RNA from Dreissena polymorpha, 1123 nucleotides. RefSeq lists it as uncharacterized. The transcript has 7 exons. The record is from RefSeq and is a predicted model, not a curated record. Lineage: Eukaryota; Metazoa; Mollusca; Bivalvia; Myida; Dreissenidae.
GGCACUCUUCCUUUAGUCAAAUUUGAGUUCAAUGCUAGGGGUCCCACAUUUUUCAAAUUGAAGCCUCUACAUGAACCUUAACAGUAGAUGAUGACAGCCCGUCGCGAAGAAUUGGAGAGCUGUCAACACUGACCGCAAAGGUGGCACCGGCAAUGACCGACGAGUCGGUGUGUCUAAGUCAUUGAAUACAACUCCCACGAUGAAAUGAAUCGUUUCCGGACGAAAUCUGUACCUUUCUCUGACCUCUUCGGCCGAUAAGACUUCUAGCGGGUUGCUUCGAUCAGCAAAAACGCGUUCAAUCGGCUGACGCCUUCUCAAACGAUUAAUGUGAUCAACGAAAGCGGCCAUGUUUGAGUACUGCUUUAUAACUUGAGACAGAUACAUCUUCAACGAACCUGCCCAACAUUAAAGCAAAAGGUAAAUUGACUUCUCUACCGAACAUCAUAUGACAAGGGAAAAAAACGGUGGAUUCCUGAACUGAUGACCUGUAUGCUAACAUUAAUAGCGAUUUAAGCAUCAUUGAGGUAUCUUGCUAAGGGAUAUUUUUACUCCGAAGUUGGUGAUAUCCAUGGAAUAAGCAAGUCAAGCUUCUGUCGGACUUUACAGAAGUUAAUCUCAGCUGUAAAUCAAAAGUUGAAAAAUAUCAGAUUUCAACAAUGACCAGCUGGUCUGCUUGUCAAGAAGGAAUUUUUCAGGAAAUGUCAGCUGUCGAAUGAAGUUUGAGCAGUUGACGGGACCCUUGUUCCCAUUAUCAAACCUGCUGAGUCUGAAGAGGCCUAGGUGUGCAUGAAAGGAUUCCGUGCCAUUAAUGUGCAGGCUGUCGUUGACGCCAACAUGAGAUGUCGUGUCAAGAUUGCCUGGUGCGACACAUGAUGCUUCGGUGUUUGAUAGCAGUGAUUUAAAGCAAUAUCUAAGCACCAAUGAUGUGGGUCAUCUGCUGGAGGAUAGUGGAUAUACAUUAAGGACUUACCUGAUGACCCCUGUACCUCAUCCCUCCAAUGCUGUUGCUGAAACAGGCAAUGGGGUAUGUUGGACAAGUGGAGAUGGAAAUGCAAUUGGAAGAGGAUGAUUUCGAGCCCAUGGAAGAGGAUCAACUAUGUAAAAAAUGAAAAUUGAACACACC